GACGAACGCUGGCGGCGUGCUUAACACAUGCAAGUCGAACGGAAAGGCCCUGCUUUUGUUGGGUGCUCGAGUGUCGAACGGGUGAGUAACACGUGAGUAACCUGCCCUUGACUUUGGUAUAACUUCAGGAAACUGGGGCUAAUACCGGAUAGGAGCUCCUGCUGCAUGGUGGGGGUUGGAAAGUUUCGGCGGUUGGGGAUGGACUCGCGGCUUAUCAGCUUGUUGGUGGGGUAGUGGCUUACCAAGGCUUUGACGGGUAGCCGGCCUGAGAGGGUGACCGGCCAAAGUGGGACUGAGAUACGGCCCAGACUACUACGGGAGGCAGCAGUGGGGAAGAUUGCACAAUGGGCGGAAGCCUGAUGCAGCAACGCCGCGUGCGGGAUGAAGGCCUUCGGGUUGUAAACCGCUUUCGCCUGUGACGAAGCGUGAGUGACGGUAAUGGGUAAAGAAGCACCGGCUAACUACGUG
This 468-nucleotide ribosomal RNA is filed under the name uncultured bacterium. Its description in RNAcentral is "partial 16S ribosomal RNA". It matches the Rfam family "Bacterial small subunit ribosomal RNA", at positions 28 to 507 of the family's 1533-position model. The record is from RNAcentral.